UGUUAAUAAAUCGUGGCUGCAGCCAAUUGUAGUCGAAUGAAAUUACGAAAUAAAAGAAUGUAAAUAAAGCAGAAACUAUUUAACUUCGCCAUUUUUCAUAUCGAUGCCAGUUCUGCAUUUGACACGAAUUUUUCAGUAUGAUGAAGACACCGAUUAAUCUAUUAUUGAUUUCGAUAUAUGCAACGCUGUUUCCACUUUAUUCAAGUCAGGUGGACAAUGAUUCCUUGAACACUCAUAAAUCCAAAGAUAAGAUAUUAUUGUGUUUAAAUAUCAAUAAAACGAAAGAAUGCAUAAUUUUCAUUAAUAGUUCCAAUAUUGUUAAUCUACUGAAUGCAAACUUACAUUGUGUUAACAAUACUCCGAAUACUCACAGUUUAAGUAUUAGUAAUCUGAUCAGCAAUAUUUUACCUACAGGAGUUAAUGUUAGUAAUCCAUUGCAAGGAGUAUUCAUAUUUCCAGGAACUAAAUGGUGUGGACCGGGAAGAAGAGCAAAAAAUGACUCGGAUCUGGGUAUAUUCAAAAAAACUGACUCCUGCUGUUGACAGCACGAUAAAUGUCCGGUAGUGAUUAAACCUGGAGAAACCAAAUAUAACUUAACCAACAACGGUCUUACUAGCCGACUGUCUUGCGAAUGUGACCGGCAAUUUCGCCAAUGUCUUAAAACUGUAAACGAGGAAGAAUGUGGUAUUCCUGCUAUCGUAGAAGUGCUUUACUUCGAUGUAGGCCGACAAAAGUGCAUAAAUUGCACCCAAACAGACAACACUUCUUCCAAUAGUGAACAACCGACGGCAUCAAAUGCUACUAAAUGCCAUUAUCAAGAUCUGGAACCUUACCCGUAAAAACAAUGUUCGGAAUUUCUAUU
This is a long non-coding RNA of Centruroides sculpturatus (bark scorpion), 862 nucleotides long. RefSeq lists it as uncharacterized. The record is from RefSeq and is a predicted model, not a curated record. NCBI's taxonomy places the organism in Eukaryota, Metazoa, Arthropoda, Arachnida, Scorpiones, Buthidae. The transcript has 6 exons.